This 464-nucleotide ribosomal RNA is filed under the name uncultured bacterium. Its description in RNAcentral is "bacterial SSU rRNA". It matches the Rfam family "Bacterial small subunit ribosomal RNA", at positions 339 to 794 of the family's 1533-position model. The record is from RNAcentral.
CUACGGGAGGCAGCAGUGGGGAAUAUUGCGCAAUGGCCGCAAGGCUGACGCAGCGACGCCGCGUGUGGGAUGACGGUCUUCGGAUUGUAAACCACUGUCAGGGGGAACGAAUGCGGGACGUCGAAUAGGCGAUCUCGAGUGACGGUACCUCCAAAGGAAGCACCGGCUAACUCCGUGCCAGCAGCCGCGGUAAUACGGAGGGUGCGAGCGUUGUCCGGAAUCACUGGGCGUAAAGGGCGCGUAGGUGGUUCGGUAAGUUGCUGGUGAAAUCCCGGGGCUCAACUCCGGGGCUGCCGGCAAGACUGUCGGACUUGAGCACGGUAGGGGCAGAUGGAAUUCCCGGUGUAGCGGUGGAAUGCGUAGAUAUCGGGAAGAAUACCAGUGGCGAAGGCGUUCUGCUGGGCCGUUGCUGACACUGAGGCGCGACAGCGUGGGGAGCAAACAGGAUUAGAUACCCCGGUAGC